GGUUUGAAACCCUAGAAGUGGUAGAUUAGAUCUAUCACUAAUUACUAUUCUUGUUCAAACGCUUGUAAUUUUAGAUUCAAAAUUUUAUGCAUAUAAAUUCAUGUUAUAAAUCUAUUUAUAGAAAUUUUAAAAUUAGAUCUUAUGUAUAUAUUUAUAUAUUAAAUAUUUUAAUCUAAUAUUAUUCAUUAAAAAUUUUUGAAAUGCAUGCAUGAAAUCCCUGUA
Molecule: long non-coding RNA, 222 nt
Filed under: Elaeis guineensis (African oil palm)
Lineage: Eukaryota; Viridiplantae; Streptophyta; Magnoliopsida; Arecales; Arecaceae
Description: long non-coding RNA (EGUI_LNC045087)
Source: RNAcentral